GGGGGUAUAGCUCAAGUGGUAGAGUGCCUGCUUAGCUAGCAUGCACAAGGUCCUGGGUUCAAUCCCUAGUACCUCCA
RNAcentral lists this transfer RNA (77 nucleotides) under Camelus bactrianus (Bactrian camel). It matches the Rfam family "tRNA". From Rfam's summary of the family: Transfer RNA (tRNA) molecules are approximately 80 nucleotides in length. Their secondary structure includes four short double-helical elements and three loops (D, anti-codon, and T loops). Lineage: Eukaryota; Metazoa; Chordata; Mammalia; Artiodactyla; Camelidae. The record is from Rfam by way of RNAcentral. RNAcentral also lists the same sequence under 3 other names.